UGUUUGUUGAACUUGAGUUUGUGUCUUUUUGAACUUGAGUUUGUGGUGUUUUUGAACUUGAGUUUGUGUCGUGUUUGAAGUUUGUGACAACUUAUGAACUUGAGUUUGUUUCGCUUGAUUUUUUGGCAAUUGUUGAACUUGAGUCUUUGGUUUUUAGUGAACUUUAGUUGGUGGCAAUUGUUGAACUUGAGUUUGUGGCGUUUGUUGAACUUGAGUUUGUGGCGUUUGUUGAACUUGAGUUUAUUAUGUUUUUUGAACUUGAGGUUCGGGUGUUUUUGAACUUGAGUUUGUGUGUUUUUUGAACUUGAGGUUGUGGAAAUUGUUAAACUUGAGAAUCGGGUGUUGCUUGAACUUGACUUGUUGUGUUUGUUGAACUUGAGUUUGUGUCGUUUUAGAACUUGAGUUUGUGUGGUGUUUUUGAAGUUGAGUUUGUGGCGUUUGUUGAACUUGAGUUUGUGGCGUGUUUGAACUUGAGUUUGUGGUGUUUUUUGAACUUGAGGUUGUGGAAAUUGUUAAACCUGAGAAUCGGGUGUUGGUUGAACUUGAAACUGUGACAUUUGUUGAACUUGAGUUUGUGGUGUUUGUUGAACUUGAGUUUGUAUCGUGUUUGAACUUAAGCUUGUGGUGUUUGAUGAACUUGAGUUUGUGGCAAUUGUUAACCUUGAGUCUGUAUUUUUCUCUGAACUUUACUUGGUGGCAAUUGUUGAACUUGAGUUUGUGGUGUUUGUUGUACUUGAGUUUGUGGCGUGUUUGAACUUGAGUUUCUGUUGGUUUUGAACUUGAGGUUGUGGAAAUUGUUAAACUUGAGAUUUGGGAUUUGGUUGAACCUGAGUUUGUGAAUCGUGUUUGAACUUGAGUUUGUGGUGUUUUUGAUCUUGAGCUUUUGUGUUUUUUGAACUGAAGUUCGUGGCAAUUGUUAAACUUGUGACUUAGGUGUUGGUUGAACUUGAGUUUGUGGUGUUUUUGAACUUGAGUUUGUGAAGUGUUUGAACUAGAUUUUCUGGUUAUUUUUUAACUUGAGUCUGUGUGUUUUUCUAACUUGAGGUUGUGGAAAUUGUUAAACUUGCGAAGUGGGCAUUGGUUGAACUUGAGUUCGUGUGUUUGUUGAACUUGAGUUUUUGUCAUUUAGAACUUGAGUUUGUGGUGUUUUUGAACUUGAGUUUUUGGCGUUUGUUGAACUUAAGUUUUUGUCGUUUUGAACUUGAGUUUGUGGUGUUUUUGAACUUGAGGUUUUGGCAGAUGUUAAACUUGAUAUUUGGGUGUUGUUUGAACUUGAGUUUUUGUCGUGUUUGAACUUGAGUUUGUGUCGUGUUUGAACUUGAGUUUGUGUCGUGUUUGAACUUGAGGUUGUGGAAAUUGUUAAACGUGAGAAUUGGGUAUUGGUUAAACUUGAGUUUGUGUGUUUGUUGAACCUGAGUUUGUGUCGUGUUUGAACUUGAGAUUUUGCUGUUUUGUGAUCUUGAAUUUGUGUGGUUUUUUUUUUACUUGAGUUUUUGGUGUUUUUGAAUUUGAGUUUCUGUUGUUUUUGAACAUGAGGUUGUGGCAAUUUGUUAAACUUGAGAUUUGGGUGUUGGUUGAAAUUAAGUUUCGGCAUUUUUGAACUUGAGUUUGUGGUGUUUUUGAACUUGAAUUUGUGUGUUUUUUGAACCUGAGUUUGUUGAACUUGAGUUAAUGACAUAUCACGGUUUUCUAUUUCACCUCAUCAACAUACAGAAGAAAGUAAAGAGGUCUUUCAUCGUGUUUGUGCAUUGUCUCUCCAUUUUAACAAACAUUUUUUACAGGCCAAGGGAGCUGCAGUAACAUCCUUUUAUUAAUCAAGUGCGACAAAUUUUAGAGUUUGAUAAGAAAUGAGAAAACUAAUGAUCCACACUGAAAAACGGUCGUGAUUACAAUAAACUUUGAGAUGCUGAUUUUUUUAUUUUAUUUUUUUGCAACUAAAUUACAUUUUUUUUGUCCUUCUGUCUUCUCCCUCUUACUGAACUCCUCAACGCUAUUUCUACUGCGGGCCCUGUUCACUGUUGGCAACUCAGCUGUAAGUUCACAAAUAAAGUAACUUUAAAAUAUAUUUUCACUGUUACUUUUUGCAACACAUUAUCUAAAAACCUGACCUAAAUAACACUUUAUUUUAACUAAUGCAGAACUAAAUGUAAAUAAUUUUGCUGGCUGAUCACAGUUGGAAUUACAAUGCAGUGAGAUGUGCUGGUUUUGUACAAUUAAACUAAAAAUCUCUUGUCUCUGUUUUUCCAUUUUCCUUCUUGCCAACUCGA
RNAcentral lists this long non-coding RNA (2267 nucleotides) under Xyrichtys novacula (pearly razorfish). Lineage: Eukaryota; Metazoa; Chordata; Actinopteri; Labriformes; Labridae. The record is from RNAcentral.